GGGAGGCUGGAGGAAGAAGAACUAACAAAUAUAUUGAAGAGUGCAAAUGGUCGGAUGUCCGACUAUUUUCAUGGUAAUUAAUCCAACUUGUUUCAUUUUUUUUAACUUGCAUAUUUUUCUUCUUCAAUUCCAUUAUCCAUCGAUAACAAGUUAUUCAUAAUUUCUUUCAUUUCGUAGGUUUGAGUCCUGGAACACACUAAUUUUGCAAAACCCGAUCGACCAAAGAUGGGUCGACUAACAGAUCACUAAUAUCCCUAUUCUCUCGAUCUAUUCAGGGAGAUAUAUGCAUGAGGAUGUGAACCAAGGACGUACAAGCUGAUCAGUGUUGAUGAGAAACCCUCAUCAUUAAUUUAUAGUGGAAUCCAUAUAUCAUCCCAGUAUUUUGAACAUCUUAUAAUAACAUAUCCUAUGUAUGUCCAAACAAGGUUUUAAAAAGACAAAUUGUAUGACAUUAACCUCCAUGUUAUUAU
This 470-nucleotide long non-coding RNA is filed under the name Zostera marina. RNAcentral describes it as "long non-coding RNA (ZMAR_LNC001258)". Lineage: Eukaryota; Viridiplantae; Streptophyta; Magnoliopsida; Alismatales; Zosteraceae. The record is from RNAcentral.